RNAcentral lists this ribosomal RNA (698 nucleotides) under uncultured bacterium. Its description in RNAcentral is "bacterial SSU rRNA". It matches the Rfam family "Bacterial small subunit ribosomal RNA", at positions 54 to 749 of the family's 1533-position model. The record is from RNAcentral.
CAUGCAAGUCGAGGGGCAGCGCGGGUAGCAAUACCUGGGGGCGACCGGCAAACGGGGGCGGAACACGUACGCACCCUUCCUUUAAGGGGGGAAUAACCCACGGAAACUUGGAUUAAUACCCCUUAACAUUAUGAGAUGGCAUCUUUUUACGCUUAAANCUCCGGCGCUUAAGGAUGGGCGUGCGCCUGAUUAGGUAAUUGGCGGGGGAACAGACCACCAAACCUACCAUCAGGAACUGGUGUGACAGCGCGACCACUCACACGGGCACUGAGACACGGGCCCGACUCCUAGGGGAGGCAGCAGAAAGGAAUAUUGCUCGAUGGACACAAGUCUCAACCAGCCAUGCCGCGUGGAGGAUGACAGCCCUCUGGGUUGUAAACUCCUUUUAUCUGGGAAGAAAUGCAGAUUUUCUAAUCUGUUUGACGGCACCAGACGAAUAACCACCGGCUAACUCCGUGCCAGCAGCCGCGGUAAUACGGAGGGUGCAAGCGUUAUCCGGAUUCACUGAGUUUAAAGGGUGCGUANGUGGACAGGAAAUUCAGUGGUGAAAUCUCCAAGCUUAUCUUGGAAACUGCCGUUGAUACUAUCUGUCUUGAAUAUCGUGNAGGUAUCGGAAUAUGUCAUGUAGCGGUGAAAUGCUUAAUAUGACAUAGAACACCGAUUGCGAACGCAGCUUACUACGCGGUCAUUGACACUGA